AGUGAACGCUGGCGGUAGGCCUAACACAUGCCAGUCGAACGGCAGCACAGUAAGAGCUUGCUCUUACGGGUGGCGAGUGGCGGACGGGUGAGGAAUACAUCGGAAUCUACUUUUUCGUGGGGGAUAACGUAGGGAAACUUACGCUAAUACCGCAUACGACCUACGGGUGAAAGCAGGGGAUCUUCGGACCUUGCGCGGAUGAAUGAGCCGCUGUCGGAUUAGCUAGUUGGCGGGGUAAAGGCCCACCAAGGCGACGAUCCGUAGCUGGUCUGAGAGGAUGAUCAGCCACACUGGAACUGAGACACGGUCCAGACUCCUACGGGAGGCAGCAGUGGGGAAUAUUGGACAAUGGGCGCAAGCCUGAUCCAGCCAUACCGCGUGGGUGAAGAAGGCCUUCGGGUUGUAAAGCCCUUUUGUUGGGAAAGAAAAGCAGCAGGUUAAUACCCCGCUGUUCUGACGGUACCCAAAGAAUAAGCACCGGCUAACUUCGUG
RNAcentral lists this ribosomal RNA (492 nucleotides) under uncultured bacterium. Its description in RNAcentral is "partial 16S ribosomal RNA". It matches the Rfam family "Bacterial small subunit ribosomal RNA", at positions 29 to 507 of the family's 1533-position model. The record is from RNAcentral.